This 387-nucleotide ribosomal RNA is filed under the name uncultured bacterium. Its description in RNAcentral is "bacterial SSU rRNA". It matches the Rfam family "Bacterial small subunit ribosomal RNA", at positions 28 to 412 of the family's 1533-position model. The record is from RNAcentral.
GACGAACGCUGGCGGCGUGCUUAACACAUGCAAGUCGAGCGGUAAGGCCCUUUCGGGGGUACGACGAGCGGCGAACGGGUGAGUAACACGUGGGUGACCUGCCCUCAGCUCUGGGAGUAAGCCUGGGAAACCGGGGUCUAAUACUGGAUAUGACUCCAUGACGCAUGUUGUGGGGUGGAAAGCCUUGUGCGGCUGAGGAUGGGCCCGCGGCCUAUCAGCUUGUUGGUGGGGUGAUGGCCUACCAAGGCGACGACGGGUAGCCGGCCUGAGAGGGCGACCGGCCACACUGGGACUGAGACACGGCCCAGACUCCUACGGGAGGGCAGCAGUGGGGAAUCUUGCGCAAUGGGCGAAAGCCUGACGCGGCGACGCCGCGUGAGGGAUGAC